UUUAUGAAAUAUUACUCAAGUUAUAGGAGGACUCCUCUAGUUACAUGCAUUAACUGUUUGUUCUAUUAACAAGGAAUAGAGGUUAGGGUGCUUUGCGAAAAAGCUAAGGAGGUUUUAAUGGAAGAAAGCAAUGUUCAGGCCAACUGUUCAAUCUGUUCAAAGCUCACAAAGAUCCUAG
This is a long non-coding RNA of Zingiber officinale, 178 nucleotides long. RefSeq lists it as uncharacterized. NCBI's taxonomy places the organism in Eukaryota, Viridiplantae, Streptophyta, Magnoliopsida, Zingiberales, Zingiberaceae. The record is from RefSeq and is a predicted model, not a curated record. The transcript has 3 exons.